RNAcentral lists this ribosomal RNA (253 nucleotides) under uncultured bacterium. RNAcentral describes it as "partial 16S ribosomal RNA". It matches the Rfam family "Bacterial small subunit ribosomal RNA", at positions 524 to 776 of the family's 1533-position model. The record is from RNAcentral.
UACAGAGGGUGCGAGCGUUGUUCGGAAUUACUGGGCGUAAAGGGCGCGUAGGCGGCCUGCUAAGUCGAACGUGAAAUCCCUGAGCUCAACCCAGGAACUGCGUCCGAUACUGGUUGGCUUGAAUCCGGGAGAGGGAUGUGGAAUUCCAGGUGUAGCGGUGAAAUGCGUAGAUAUCUGGAGGAACACCGGUGGCGAAGGCGACAUCCUGGACCGGUAUUGACGCUGAGGCGCGAAAGCCAGGGGAGCAAACGGG